Long non-coding RNA from Oncorhynchus keta (chum salmon), 1080 nucleotides. RefSeq lists it as uncharacterized. NCBI's taxonomy places the organism in Eukaryota, Metazoa, Chordata, Actinopteri, Salmoniformes, Salmonidae. The record is from RefSeq and is a predicted model, not a curated record. The transcript has 2 exons.
CCACAUAAGCCAACUUUUUCCAGCAGGAAAAAGUUGUGAUUCCCUCUCUUCACAUCUCCUAAGAGAUGUGAUAUAGUCCAGAUACAUUACUCCAAGCAAAAACGAAAACAUAAUCCAAAAAGGAAAAAUAGCCUAAACAAGGUAAGUCUAUACGGAAAUGGCCCACAAAGAAAAAUAAUUUCCCCCUCUUCCCAUCCCAGAUGGGACACGACAUACAAUGGAGAAGCUUAAUCAAUAAAGCAACUGGAUCCCCCUCCUAAAAUGGCUGCAAAAACUGAAAGAUGGGUCUCAUGCUCCAUACCGUUAUCUCGCACCUGGCUCCUGUUAUCUAACAAAAAGACCGCUUGUUCUCGCAACCCCACGCUCUGAAUGUGCCCUCCCUUCUGUAUUUUUCCAGCAUGAGAAAGUUCCAUGGCCCUGAUACUUUUAACAAUGUUUCAAAUCAGCUAGGUAGCAUAACACAUACAUACCUCCACACAAGGCAACAGCAGAUAAUAUUCAAUCUUAUAUAUGGUAAUGGCUAUAAUGUAAAAUAACCCCAAGGGUGUGAACAAAAAUUCAGCAAUGAAUCAUAUAACAGUUACAAAGUUUAAACUACCUUCAUGUCAAAAGAGAACAGCUCAUUCAAAAACAGAACAUAAGAAAAUAGUGUGAAAUUUAAGUCCCCCUUUUGACACCCGCUAGGGUGUCACUUAUCAAAAACAGGAUAAAACUUUAUUGUUAUUGACAUGUAAGAUGUAGGAUAAAACUUUGGUCAUGGAAAACAGAGUAAAGAAUUAUUAGAAACCAUCUGGUCCUCUCAGCUACUCCUAUCCUGUACCAGGUGGGCUCCUUGCCACCCAGGGACUCUAAACCUUCACAACAGGGAGAACAAACAUACUGGAAAGAAAACCUAUCAUAAAAAUGUAUAACAAGGAACUGUGGUGGUGUAAAAUGUAUUCUACUACCUCACCCUCAGCAUACCAUGGGUCAUCCUCAGUCAGUCCCAUCCUCUCCUGAAAGCAUGCUUCCGUAUCGGCAUCUCCAACUGGAGCAUCAAGCAAAGGCAACAUGCCUGAAGCCUUCACCAUAUCUGUAACA